Non-coding RNA from Cricetulus griseus (Chinese hamster), 1024 nucleotides. The record is from RefSeq and is a predicted model, not a curated record. Lineage: Eukaryota; Metazoa; Chordata; Mammalia; Rodentia; Cricetidae.
UCACUUUCUACCUCUUUUAGUUUGGUGGUGUAUAAUUCAGGAACUGAUUUCUGCUCAGCUAAACUUCUUAAAAAUUUUGCUUUGUUUGUCCUGAACUUUUAAGGACAUAAAAGAGCCAAGCAGGAGACCGGCGAGUGCCAACUUCAAGAUGCCUUCUAUCGCAAGACUGCUUGGGAAGCAAAUUAUACUCGGAGUUAUACCUCUCAUCCUAAGUAGUCUUUGGUCUUUUAUUUUCAGGACUGGAACUAAACAUGGUGAAACAGGUCUUGCCUCUGACUCAAAUAGAGCCCAGAAGACACAUGGACGCCAUGCAAAGAAAAAUUAAGAAAAAUCCACUCUGUAAUUAAGCAAAUCUAAGGAUUCUAGAAGCACCUCUCGCUGAAACCCAAAGAAGUCCUCCUCCUUCUGGGCUUUCACAACCCAGUAUCUUCCUUCCCUUACAAAUGAGGAAAUCACUUACCAGUUGCUUGCACCUUGAAUCUUGUGAUUUGAUUCAAUUUGCUAAAUCAUAGUUGAUUAAAUAAACAGAAAUUUAAUAGGGAUUUUAACCAACAGGUCUUCCCAAGGCAUUUAUAAAUUUGUGGCGUGGAUGUUUAUGAGCCAGCCUUAGUGUACACAUAUGUGUAUAUAUGUGAGGGUUUGUGGGGUGGAAGAACAAGCAUCUAGAAAUGUGACCUGUAAUCACGUAUUUACUUAGUAUCUGUGUUCACUGUUUAUUUUAUAUGUUAAAUGCUCUUUUCAUGGCAGGAGUUGGGUAAAUAUUGUAAAUGACACUGUCUUUUAUCUCAAGGGCUUUGCAAAGAAGACACUACAUGCUUUAGUCAGCUGUUCAUUGUUGUAACAAAAUACAAGAUACUAAAGGACCAAAAAUUCAAAUUAAUAGAAGUUUAUAAAGGAAAAUUUAACUCCUUAAAUCAGGAGUGCUAUGACUGAUGAUGCCUGAUCUCCUGCUCUCAGAGAAGCAGAGGUGACUGCCCACAAUUCCAGUUAACAUUCCUUUGCUAUUGCUGGUUGUAAAGGUGCC